UUGAACAUCAUGCUGCUCCAUGAGUAGGUGUGACCAUAAUUUAUGAAUAAGAUGUCUUACCAUGGGGCCUUUCUUCUCUAACCAUAAUGACAGAACGCAGGCUCCGGUCCCAAUCUAAAAAGCAGAUCAUCUCCAAACUUAUAUUGAGUCUAAGAUCAAAAGUUGUAAAUAGCCAGUAUUGUAAUUUGCCCCAGAAGUUCCUAAUACGGGGACAAUCAUAGAAAUAAUGAUACAAAUCUGGGGCUUGUAUUGAGCAUUUAACACAUUGAUUAACAAUGCUUGAGUUCCAGUGUGAUAUACGAUUGGGGGUAAGGUAGUCUUGAUGUAACAUUCGUACCUGAGAUUCUCUCAGCUGCGAGGAUAGAGUAACUUUUUUGGUCUUUUCUAGGCUGCUUUUAAAGAUUAGACUAGUUAUGUUUCCAAUUCUCAACUUCCAUUUGUCUAACCGGCUUUCUUGCAGAUCUAGUGCUGUUUUGCGUAGGAGCGUUUGAUACAAUGGUGUGAUUGAAUACUGGCCCCUUCUAAAAGCAUCUUGUGUAGGCGCCAAGGGUGAGGGGGACCAGAACUUCUCAUUUUUAUCUUUGAGACAAUUAAUAUAAUGCCUUGUCUGUAAAUAAGCAUAGAACUGGGAGUUUGGAAUAUUAAAUUGUUUACUCAGCUCCCGAAAUGGCUUCACUGUCUGGGAGGGGUGAUCUAAAAAAGAGCCAACCUUAUUUAACCCCUUGGUCUCCCAUACACGAAAAGACUGAUUCUGUUCCUGUAGGGAAAUCCAAGUUUCCUAUCAAUGGUAUAAAUUUAGGAUCAGGGUGGGAGAUGUUUAAGUGUUUGAAAGAUAGUUUCCAUGCUCGCAGUGGGUCUUUAAAUAGAAUAUUAUUUUUUAUCACUACUGGCAAUUUACCCCUGUCUGUAUAUGGGAGCGAGGAUAUAUUAAUGUCCCCCAGAACCGCUUGUUCCAGAUGUUUAUGAUAGAAAUGUGCCGUGUCGAGCUGCCAAUCUAGUACUAAUCUUAGAAGACUCGCCCAGUUGUAGAAUCUAAAAUCUGGUAAUCCCAGUCCACCCUCCGUAUAUGGGAGAGACAGUUUUCCUAUUGCUAUACGUGUUUUUUUGUUUUUCCAAAGAAAGCGUUUCAUAGCUCGGUUAAUUAAUAAAAGAUCUUCUUUGUGGAUUAAGAAGGGUAGCAUUAGUAACGUAUAUAGGAUUCGUGGCAAGGUACUCAUCUUAAUUAAAUUGAUGCGUCCUGAUAGGGAUAGCGGUAGUGCGGACCAACUCUCAAGCUGUUGUGAAGCCCGCAUACAUUGUCUAUUGAUAUUAAACUGAUAAAGAUAGUUAGGGUCUGAAUGAAGAACGAUCCCUAGAUAGGUUAAGGUUGACGUGACCGCUUUAAAAGGAUAUGUUUUUGUGUCGCCCGCGUGUCUUCUUAACCAUAAUAUUUCAGAUUUUGGUAGAUUUGUUUUGUACCCUGAAAAGGUACCAAAUUUUUCUAUGACAUUGAGAAUUUUAGGGGCAGAAUUAGCCGGAUCAUCCACAAAAAGGAGCAUAUCAUCUGCAUAGAGUACUAAAUGGUGAUAGGAGCCAUUAAUGUUAAUUCCCGCAUAGGUCUGACGUAGUUUAUGGGCCAGCGGCUCCAGUGCCAGGUCAAAAAGUAAAGGUGACAAUGGGCAACCUUGCCUGGUUCCUCUUUGUAAAGAGAUAUCAGCUGAAAAAAACCCAUUAAUCAUUAUUCGUGCCUUCGGUACUAGAUACAUAUUGACCACUGCCUGUAGGAAAGAGCCCUGUAUAUUAAAAAGUUUCAUAGUAUUUAGAAGAUGUUGCCAUUCAACACGAUCGAAGGCCUUCUCUGCAUCCAAGGAUAGCAGGAAGGCCUCCUUUAAGUGACUGUUUGCAUAAUUUCUAUUUACCCAGUAGUGAUUAAUUAUAUGUAGAACUCUACGUAUAUUCACUACCGACGAUCUUCCUGUGACAAAGCCCGUCUGGUCCGUGUGUAGAAUAUCUGUUAAAAGUGGUUGCAAUCUUGCAGCUAGAAUCUUCGUGUAUAUUUUAUAGUCCGAGUUGAGAAGUGAUAUUGGACGAUACGACUCCGUUAGUGUAUGAUCCUUACCCGGUUUAUGAAUUAGAGUAAUGUUAGCUGAAGAGAAGAGUGCCGAAGGGAUAGUUUUUUCUAUAAAGUAUGUAUUAAACAGUUUCAAUAAGGGUGUCGCCACCUGUGUUUGAAGAAUUUUAUAAAAUUAAAUUGGAAGGCCGUCUGGACCAGACUUUUUCCCUAGAGAAAAGGACGCUAUUGUAUUGUUUACUUCUAUCGUAAUCGGGGAGUUCAACUUGGAUAGUUGUUCUUGUGAUACUUGGGGUAAUUUAAUAUUUUCCCAAAAAGAUGCCAUAGUCGGCGGAUUGUGGUCUGCCUGAUUUGUAUAUAAUAGCUUGUAAUAAUCUUCAAAGCAGAUAAGAAUAUCCUGAGUUUUUGUAAAAGUUUUCCCCUUAUUCGAUAUGGAUGCAAUAUUUUUCCUUAACAAUCUUUUGUUUACUAAUGAAGCCAUAAGUUUGCCUGACUUAUUUCCAUAGCGUAGAUAUGUAGCGUUUCUCUUGAGAAGGCCCUGGGCUGCUUGGUGUUCCACAAACGUAUCUAAGGCCACCUUAGCUGCCAUAUAGAUAUUAAAAUGAAAGGUGGUUUUGGUUUCGCGGAACAUCUGAUAUGAAUCUACUACUUCUUUACUUAGUAUAGUAAAUCUUUUUUGUGUAUUCGAACGAGCAUGUGCCAAGUAUGAGACUAUAUUACCUGUUAGAACCACCUUAGCCGUUUCCCAAAACAGUUCCGGUGUAGAGCUGUGUUCUUUAUUAUCAGUAGUGAAAUCCGUCCAAGCCUGUAACAGGCAUUUGCGGAAGGGCUCCGAUCUAAAUAAAUGGGCUGGAAAUUUUAGUGUGUUUCUGUUCUAAACUGGACCAAAGGCAAAUACCAGUUCAACUGGUGCAUGGUCUGAUAUGAGCACAUUAUGAAUUUUAUCAGAACAUACAUUGGGAAUCAGAGCAUCAGAUACUCGAAACAUGUCUAUGCGUGAGCAUGAGGCCUUAGCCUUUGAUAUGCACGUAAAUUCAUUAUCAGUAGGAUGCCUUAGUCUCCAAAUAUCCCUGACCGCAAGGUCAGAGACCAGCCUGGAGAAGAUUGUUUUUUCAAAUUUGCCCAUCGAUCUGUUAGUACCUUUUUGUGGACCCCUAGAACCAAACAAUCUGUCACAUACUGGGUUCGGAGUUAAAUUAAAAUCACCCCCAAUGAUCAUAUGUGAACCUGAAAAAGGCAUAAUUUUUUGAAUAAAGUUAUACCAAAAACGUUUAUCUUUUUUAUUUGGAGCAUAUAUAUUACACAGGAUAUAGGUCCGUUUCUCUAUCUUAAUUUGGACCACUAGAUAUCUACCAUCUGGGUCAGUUAAGGUCUGUAGUACUUCAAUUGAUUUUCUCUUUCCAAAAAGGAUAACUAAACCUCUACUAGCGGUGGUAUAAGAACUAUAUUGGAGGUCAUUCACCCAAUCUCUCCUCAAUUUUUCAUGCUCCCUAUCAUUAAGAUGUCUUUCCUGUAGCAUAGCUACAUCUACAUUGAGUCUACGCAUAUGCGUCAGAAUUGCUUUUCUUUUUAUUGGGGAGUUAAUUCCGCCCACAUUCCAUGAACAGAAUUUAAGUGUCAUUGUCUACUCUUAGAGUGAGAGAGCAGACUUUGCACAGGGGCGGAGGAGGGAGAGAAAAAAAAAAAAAUUAAAUAAAUUAUACAUGUGCAUAUAUUUAUACAUGUAAGUAGGUAUCUUAGGGAUCUAAGGCUAGCGGUUAGGUAGGAUAUUCCCUCUCCAGUCGCUACAAAUAAGUAACAGAAACACAUCUGCAAGAUACCCAAGUAAGCCCAUGAUAUUCUAAUACAUUGUAAAUAACAUUUGUGUUCAUUACACACACAUUUCAAGACAUUAUUUUUAGAUUUCACGUUUGAGUUCCAAACAAUAAUUGAUGCUACUAAACCCUCAAUUAAACUAAUAAAUACUACAAUAAGGAUUUUUAAAGCAUUGCAAAAAUUCUUAAAUAAAUCCCACCAUCAAUUAUUUAUUCAAAUCAGAUAAACUCCAAAGAAAUAGGCCCUAGCUACCUAUUUCCGUCCUUCGCCGUGAUUGGGUGAGGAUCUGCUCAGUGUUCCCGAGGUUUUGAGAUAUUCUCUCACCUCUCCUGGUGUAUCAAAAAAUUUAGGACCUGUUUUUGUAAGUAGUUUCAAUUUUGCUGGGUAGAGUAAGAACGCUUUAUAUCCCUCUUUAUUAAGCUCAUUACAUAAUGGGGAAAAUUCUCUGCGGCGCUUCGAUACUUCUACCGAAUAAUCUUGAAACAGGAGGAUUUUAACAUUAUUGUACAUUACAGCAGGAAUUAAACGGUAUGCUCUCAGGACUGAUAUUUUCAUCUGAAAAUGUAAAAAUCUAACCAUAACUUGAAAAGGGUGGUUGCCCUUUUCAACUGACCUUUCUGGUCCAAUUCUAUGAGCCCUUUCGAUGCUCCCCUUAAAUAGAGAAGGCUCUAUUCCUAGUAAGGUAGGCAGAGUGGUUUCAACGAAGGCUAUAAGCUCAUUAUUCUUCACGAUCUCUGGUACACCUACUAGACGCAAGUUUUUGCGCCUGGACCUAUUUUCUAGGUCCUCUAGGCGCUGAUGCAAUAUGAUAUUUUGAAGGUUUAGAUCCUCCAGUUUUUUAGAGCUAUUAGCUGAUACAUCUUCCAGCUCCGAGACCCUUUCCUCUACUUCAUUCAUUCUCACUGAGAAUUGUUUAAAUUCCUCAACGAUACUAUCUACACCUUUCUGGAGACUUUCUAUUUUAGGUAGGAAAAGUGAAGAAAUCUGUUGUACUAUAAUGUGUGUCUCACUUGUGUUCACAUUUGUACCUGGGGAGACCGGUUGGCCAGGAAGCUGCAUUUCAGAAAUUUGUUUGGCCCUCCUGUCACUUGUUUUACUCUUUGCAGCCAUUUUAGAUGGCUCCAAAUAUUUAUCCAUGCAGUUCGCUACUCGGCUGUACUUUUCUGAGACCUUUUAAAAUAUUUUUUAUAAUUUUGCUUUUUGUCCCUCUGUCUAACCACUAUGACUGAAUGUGCAUUUGGAAGUGCAGAGAAAAAAAAAAAAAAGGGGAAGCUCCUUUUCUUGGUGAAAAAGUGAAUUAGUGAAGGAUAUCCACAAGGGAAAUAAGAGGAAUUGGGACCAAUUCCUUAGCAGGGGGGAGGGCGGCGUGAGAUGAAUUAGAGUGAAGGAAAAAAGGGAAAGGGAACAACCACACACACAACAACAAAAAAAUGACAAUUUUAAUAUAAGUGCAUUCAGUGAGAGUCAGUCAUGUAGAAGACAAGGAAAACAAUCUCCAGUGUCAAAUGAGGUCCCUGCUUAGUACAGUUUUAGAAUAAGAGUUUUGAUAGAAGUUGAAUGUUAUUUACCUAAGUUACAGGAUCCUUUAACCUAAUGUUAGUAUAGCGCGUAUCUUAACAGCUGUUCAAAUAUAUAGAAAAAUGUAUUUAUCCCUAAUGAGACAGUAAACUAAAUUUAAUAACGCCUAGAGUCAGGUAAAACAUUGGCAACUUAAUUUAACAAUAUAUAGUCAUACAAGAGAGUUUGAGAAAAUACGUUGCAGCAUGCACAAAUCUUGAUAAUGUCUGCCUUUUUCCCAGACUAUAAUACAGAUCUGCGAUUUCUACUUUUGUUGUAAUGAUGGUUUAUGCUUUGCAGCUAUGUGUACUAAUACAGACACUGGGUGUAAGCCUCUAUUAACUAUAUAUUUAAAAGCCUAUCUGUAAUUCAACAAUGAGCUAGUUUUAGCUUAAGUAUGUUUAUACUGUUAGUAAAAGGGAGAGAGGAAAAAAGAAAAGAAGGAAGGAAGCAAAAAAGAGAACAAAUAGGGAAGGGAGAAAAGAGGGGGAAGAGAUAUCAAGUGCAACUCGUAUCUGACACAAUUUAAUUAUUUGUCCAUAUCUUGAUCUUUUGAUAUUUUGUAUCAGUUCAGUCUGUCUUUAAAGCAACCUUUCUCCUGUAUUCGUCUUGCAGGUGUAAUUCUUUUCAAAGAAUCAGUUAUGUCACCGCUUUUCUUCCUUUCUUUCCCCUCUUUUUGUAUCAAGACCCCUAUGUAGUGUUAUAAGCUCUUACCUACAGAUAGAUGGCUGGAGGAGCCCUCUCCAGAAAACCACAGAAAAGAAAAUAGGGGAAGAAAAAAACUAAAAAAAAAACAAGAGAAAAAAAAAAAGUACCUGACCCCUGUCCUUGGGGCUUUGAUAGUUCAGUCGAUCUAUCAACAUAGAGGGAUUACUAUGCGAGCUUCCAAUCCGGGACCCCCCCCCGCGCAGCACCGGUGGGAGGGGGUACACCGGUAUAGUGUGGAUGACGUUCACAGAAGGUUUCACUAACAAAGAGCGUGGAAGUAACAAGACUGCUUAUCUCUUGCCCGAUCCCCUUAAAAGGAAAGUGCCCCCAGCUCCAGUUCAGAGAGGCUCCAUAACCUCCAGUCAGGGGGAAGUUGCACUCAAUCCCAAACCCCCUCACGCAGCAUCGGUGGGAGGGGGCGGGGUAGACUACGCUCCGGUUGGCUCCAAUACCCCAAGGUACAGAAACAUGUACACAGCGGCCCUAGGGGAGCCGACGUCACACAGUCCCGGCAAGGGAAGCAACCAAGACACCGCUGCUACAGAGCAGACUCCAGUUAUGGUGGGGGGUAGAGUAAUCCUCGUGACGGUACGCUCCGGCGGCCCCAAGUUCAGUACCGCUAUCCAGCACCCCUCAGGGAUCCGUCUCCACACGAUCCCAAGGGGGAGAGAGGCAGGGACGCUGUUCUGCCAAGGGAUGGCACACUGCACCGCAGAAUGUAAUCCGAGUCAUCAACCUCCAAGCCUCCAGAUUCAAGGAAAUUCUAAGGUAUUUCCACCGCCACUUGAUUAGCACCUUUCGUACAGUGUUCCCACUUCUUUCCCUUCUUCCUCCCCUCUCCCUACCCUUCCAACGCCGUACUGCGCUUUCAGUUAUGGGCCAGAUUCUUAGGCAAAUAUGGACUGCACAAUAUUUUUUUUUUAAAGUAUUGCUGCCAAAUGCAGCUCAGUGCGAUGAAAUGGCACUAUUAGGGGGCUGGUAACAAGGUGGAAACAAACUGUUGUAGCGAGCCGCCCAAGGUCUAGGGUGUUCGGCACGGCUUCCUUUCUGCCAACAGCUCGCUGGAGAACACGGAGCAGGUGUGUUGCGUGACCUUACACCUGAGCUCCUCCUACCGGCCUCAAUCUUUUUUUUAAAUAUAUUUUUAACAUGGUUACAUAGUGCUCUUUCACACACAUAUAAAUUUUUAGAGUUCCCUUUAAAGGGACAUUAAACUGCUGGAUACAACUUAAACACAAUGGUACUACUCACCAUACUAUUGGGUUUUUUUUGUCAGCACUACUCUUCAGAGCCGUUCUCUUGUUUUAACCCUUAACGGGUGGUGGUUGGUGAAGCUCCACGUUUUUAGAUUGGGCGCCGCUAUCUUGGAGCUCACGUAUUCUUGAACUCUAUGACAAAAGUGGUAAAGAUUUACUGAUUAGUAAUGUUGCUGGCUUUCACAGCUGUAUUGUGUGCUUUGGGUUAGCAAAAACAAUACAGAGUGGGAUGUUUUGAUACACAGUUCAAAAAUUACAUAGUGUAUAUAUAAAAAAAAAAGCCACACGAAUAAUAUAGAGCAGCCAAUGCCUAAAUGUCAUGCUCUCACUUUGUAUUAUGCACCUUAACCAGAAGUGUAAAAAACACCUGUAAUGUCACUGAUUUCUAAAUGUGCACUGUUUCUGUCAUAGAAUACAAGAAUACCUAAGCUCCAAGAUGACGGUGCCAGUAUAAAAAUGUGUAACUUGACCAACAGCUUGGAAGAGAGUUGCAGGCACAGGAGGAAAAACAAUAGCAUAGUGAAUAGUAGCUGCCACCUUCCGCAUUCGGAUCAGCACAAAUGAUCCUAUGCAUGCUCAGCAGACAAUUUAAAAAAACACAAUAAUUGUUUCAUUAAAUGGAUGUAAACACAAAUUGUAAGCUGCAUAAUAAUGUACCUUCAUAUCUGAAAAUAAUUUUACAAUGAUUAAUGCAGCUUUAAUUUGUCAAAUGAGCAUAUUAUUUAAUGUUUUUCUUUUGACUGAUUUCCCUUUCACCCUUGAACAAAAGAACCAUUGCUAACCAGUCACAAACUAAUAUGCUGAUAUAGCACAAACUCUAUUUGUACUCUGGUAGCCUGCCCUCUUCUUUUCCCUUAAUGUGGUUUAGCACUGAAUCAGCUUAGUUAAAGGGACACUCAAGUCAAAAUUAAACCUUCAUUAUUUAGAUAGGAGUCACCAGCUCCUACUGAGUAUGUGCAAGAAUUCACAGAAUAAGCGUGUAUGCAUUUGUGAUUGGCUGUUGGCUGUCACAUGGUACGUGUAUGCAUUUGUGAUUUGCUGAUGGCUGUCACAUGGUACAGGGGGAGUGGAUAUAGACAACUUUUAAAAUUAUCAGAAAAAAAAUCUACUCAUUUAAAGUUUAGCCUAAGCACUAUUGCAUUGUCUUAUUAUCUUGCAAUUGUUGAUUAUGCAAAUCUACUGUGUUGACUGGUCCUUUACUUAGAAAAUGUUAUUUACAGGUAUUUAAAUAAACAGACAUAUAUUCCUUUUUAAACUCUGUGUAAUAGCUAAAUAUAUAUUCAUAUAUACAUAAUAUUAACACCCAAA
This is a long non-coding RNA of Bombina bombina (fire-bellied toad), 8694 nucleotides long. RefSeq lists it as uncharacterized. Lineage: Eukaryota; Metazoa; Chordata; Amphibia; Anura; Bombinatoridae. The record is from RefSeq and is a predicted model, not a curated record. The transcript has 2 exons.